GACGAACGCUGGCGGCGUGCUUAACACAUGCAAGUCGAACGGAAAGGCCCUGCUUUUGUGGGGGGCUCGAGUGGCGAACGGGUGAGUAACACGUGAGUAACCUGCCCUUGACUUUGGUAUAACUUCAGGAAACUGGGGCUAAUAUCGGAUAGGAGCUCCUGCUGCAUGGUGGGGGUUGGAAAGGUUCGGCGGUUGGGGAUGGACUCGCGGCUUGUCAGCUUGUUGGUGGGGUAGUGGCUUACCAAGGCUUUGACGGGUAGCCGGCCUGAGAGGGUGACCGGCCACAUUGGGACUGAGAUACGGCCCAGACUCGUACGGGAGGCAGCAGUGGGGAAUAUUGCACAAUGGGCGGAAGCCUGAUGCAGCAACGCCGCGUGCGGGAUGACGGCCUUCGGGUUGUAAACCGCUUUCGCCUGUGACGAAGCGUGAGUGACGGUAGUGGGUAAAGAAGCACCGGCUAACUACGUG
This 468-nucleotide ribosomal RNA is filed under the name uncultured bacterium. RNAcentral's name for it is "partial 16S ribosomal RNA". It matches the Rfam family "Bacterial small subunit ribosomal RNA", at positions 28 to 507 of the family's 1533-position model. The record is from RNAcentral.